Molecule: long non-coding RNA, 314 nt
Organism: Chinchilla lanigera (long-tailed chinchilla)
Lineage: Eukaryota; Metazoa; Chordata; Mammalia; Rodentia; Chinchillidae
Exons: 3
Source: RefSeq, a predicted model, not a curated record
CUGGCGGGGUGCCCUGCAGGUGGAGGUCCCCGAGAGGAGGUCCCAUGUUUGGGGCCGGCGGGUGUGGCGUGUAAGACUGUGCCGGCUUCCAGAGCGCUGGGACUGCGGGCGUGCACCCCCAUGCCUAGCCAUCAUGGUUUUUUGUACCAUGGAGGCUGAAGGAUGAGAAAUGCCAUUUCCAGGUGCUUAUGCAGCUAGAAUGUCCACUUCACCUGACUUCUGUCAAGAAGAUACAGACAAACCUGCAGGGGAAGCUAGGGUCUGGAUGAGAUGUAUUUCCUGCCAAUGAGACCACUCACAUGGGACAUGCUAGC